GCUGCAUAAGGAGAUCCGGGCCAGGGGGCCCACCAGGAUGUCCUGCCCUGUGGGGGUCAACACUGGCCGUGGUCCGCCGGCGGCAUCCAGGGACAGUCUAUCUAGGUGAGGCUGAGGCUGCCCGCCCCCUCGCUCCCUCACCCCCUCACCCCCAUGCUGACGGCAGUGGGCUGACCACAGCCCCGGGGAGCCCCACGGGAAGACUGGCCUCCCCAGCACACGCCCAAUAGUGUGAGACACAGUCAUCACAGAGGCAGGUACACGACACCACGGGACUUGCCACCUACCUACCCCCAUUGGGACCACGGGCCAUUGAGAAGCCACGAAGGCCGUGCUUCCAGCAGCGACUGAGGCGGCAGGACCAUCAGGAGGCCACAGGCGCCACGGCUCCCCUCUGGUGGUUCACCUGCUCACCUGCGCUGGGGAGGCCCCUCCAGUGUGUGUGGUCCCGAGAGCAGAACCCCCCCAGUGUGAGCAGGUGACGGGCUG
This 489-nucleotide long non-coding RNA is filed under the name Homo sapiens (human). RNAcentral describes it as "HSALNT0145310". The record is from RNAcentral. Lineage: Eukaryota; Metazoa; Chordata; Mammalia; Primates; Hominidae.